RNAcentral lists this ribosomal RNA (495 nucleotides) under uncultured bacterium. RNAcentral's name for it is "partial 16S ribosomal RNA". It matches the Rfam family "Bacterial small subunit ribosomal RNA", at positions 28 to 507 of the family's 1533-position model. The record is from RNAcentral.
GACGAACGCUGGCGGCGUGCCUAAUACAUGCAAGUAGAACGCUGAAGGAGGAGCUUGCUCUUCUGGAUGAGUUGCGAACGGGUGAGUAACGCGUAGGUAACCUGCCUGGUAGCGGGGGAUAACUAUUGGAAACGAUAGCUAAUACCGCAUAACAGUAGAUGUUGCAUGACAUUUACUUAAAAGGUGCAAUUGCAUCACUACCAGAUGGACCUGCGUUGUAUUAGCUAGUUGGUGGGGUAACGGCUCACCAAGGCGACGAUACAUAGCCGACCUGAGAGGGGGAUCGGCCACACUGGGACUGAGACACGGCCCAGACUCCUACGGGAGGCAGCAGUAGGGAAUCUUCGGCAAUGGACGGAAGUCUGACCGAGCAACGCCGCGUGAGUGAAGAAGGUUUUCGGAUCGUAAAGCUCUGUUGUAAGAGAAGAACGAGUGUGAGAGUGGAAAGUUCACACUGUGACGGUACCUUACCAGAAAGGGACGGCUAACUACGUG